UCGUAGCAAACUAAGAAUACUAGGUAUUGCUUUCCGUUAACCAGUGAGACAAUGGGGGAUAAGCUCCAUCGUCAAAAGGGAAACAGCCCAGAUCACCAGCUAAGGCCCCAAAAUGACCGCUAAGUGGCAAAGGAGGUAGGAAUGCUGAAACAACCAGGAGGUUUGCCUAGCAGCAGCCAUCCUUUAAAGAGUGCGUAAUAGCUCACUGGUAGAGCGUUCUUGCGCCGAAAAUGAACGGGACUAAGCGGUCUGCCGAAGCUGUGGGUAAAAUUUAUUAAAAGGUAGAAAAUCUUUCAAUCUUUUUUUUAUUUUACGGUAGGGGAGCGUUCCGCUCUAGGGUGAAGCUCCAACGUAAGUUGGUGUGGACAAAGCGGAAGUGAGAAUGUCGGCUUGAGUAACGAAAACAUUGGUGAGAAUCCAAUGCCCCGAAAACCUAAGGCUUCCUCCACAAGGCUCGUCCAUGGGGGGUUAGUCGGGACCUAAGGCCAGGCCGAAAGGCGUAGUCGAUGGAAAACAGGUUAAUAUUCCUGUACUAAUUUGAUAGUGGUACCGAGGGACGAAGAAGGGAACAGUUGGUCAAUAUUGGAUGUUGACGGAAACGUUCAAGGUGAUGAAAGAUAGAAUAAAAACUCUUCUUGAGCUGAGGCGUAACACGGUUUUAUUACUUGAAUAAGGCUUUUAGAGUAUUUUACGAAAAUUUUUUGUUCAAAAUGAAACUCAACUAGUUGUCAUACUUCCUAGAAAAGCUCGAACUUCCAAGACUAAAAAAUUACCCGUACCCGAAACCGACACAGGUAGGUAGG
RNAcentral lists this ribosomal RNA (803 nucleotides) under Trebouxia sp. Jameos_1. RNAcentral describes it as "LSU rRNA". It matches the Rfam family "Bacterial large subunit ribosomal RNA", at positions 944 to 1671 of the family's 2925-position model. The record is from RNAcentral. Lineage: Eukaryota; Viridiplantae; Chlorophyta; Trebouxiophyceae; Trebouxiales; Trebouxiaceae.